GAUGAAGAACGUAGUGAAAUGCGAUAAGUAAUGUGAAUUGCAGAAUUCAGUGAAUCAUCGAAUCUUUGAACGCACAUUGCGCCCGCCAGUAUUCUGGCGGGCAUGCCUGUUCGAGCGUCAUUUCAACCCUCAGGCCCCCAGUGCCUGGUGUUGGGGAUCGGCCCAGCCUUCCUGUAAGGCCGCCGGCCCCGAAAUCUAGUGGCGGUCUCGCUGUAGUCCUCCUCUGCGUAGUAGCACAACCUCGCAGUUGGAACGCGGCGGUGGCCAUGCCGUUAAACACCCCACUUCUGAAAGUUGACCUCGGAUCAGGUAGGAAUACCCGCUGAACUUAAGCAUAUCAAAGCGGAGGA
Molecule: unclassified non-coding RNA, 350 nt
Filed under: soil metagenome
Description: partial contains 5.8S ribosomal RNA, internal transcribed spacer 2, and large subunit ribosomal RNA
Rfam family: 5.8S ribosomal RNA (bases 1-120)
Source: RNAcentral